Molecule: RNA transcript, 5335 nt
Organism: Athene cunicularia (burrowing owl)
Lineage: Eukaryota; Metazoa; Chordata; Aves; Strigiformes; Strigidae
Gene name: translocating chain-associated membrane protein 1-like 1
Exons: 12
Source: RefSeq, a predicted model, not a curated record
GCUCCUCCCGGCGGGCCUGCCCGGCCCUGGGAGCCGGCACCGUCAUGGGGCUCCGCAGGAAAAACAAGAGGCUGGUGGUGCUCAGCCAUGAGUUCGUCAUUCAGAACCAUGCGGAUACCGCAUCCUGCCUGGUGAUGGGCUUCCUGCUGGGGCUCAUGUUUGAGGUUUCAGCCAAGUACGCCAUCAUCUUUAUUGCUGUGCAGUACAAUGUCACCUAUACCACUGGAAUUAAUCUGCACAAUGUCUUGGAAAAAAUAGGUGACAACGGUGAGCAAUUUCAUUUUUAUGACUAUGGUCCAAAAGACAUUGCCACAAUCUUCUUCUACAUGCUUGUAGCUAUUAAUCUGCAUGCGGUAAUCCAGGAGUACAUAUUAGAUAAAAUUAGUAGACGUCUGCAUUUGUCAAAAACAAAGCACAGCAAAUUCAAUGAAUCGGGACAGCUAGCAUUUUUCUACUUGUUUUCAUUUAUAUGGGGAGCAAGUAUUCUGAAUGCAGAAGAAUUUGUGAUGAACCCAAUCUCACUCUGGAAAGACUAUCCCCAUUCUCGUAUGCUUUUUCAGGUAAAAUUCUUCUAUAUUUGCCAGAUAGCCUAUUGGCUUCAUGCACUGCCAGAACUAUACUUCCAAAAGAUCCGAAAGGAAGAUAUUCCAAGGCAGCUAUGUUAUAUUUGCCUUUACAUUGCUCAUAUCUCUGGUGCCUAUAUAUUAAAUUUGCAGCAUUUGGGGCUAAUUCUGAUGGUACCUCACUAUCUAGUGGAACUCAUUUUUCAUGCCUCACGUCUUUUCUACUUCAGUGAUGAAAACAAGCAAAAAGGAUUUACCAUUUGGGCUUUACUUUUCGUAAUGGUGCGUCUUUUGACCUUAACUUUAUCUGUCCUCACAUUUGGAUUUGGUCUGGCAAGAGUAGAGAAUCCAGGUUUUUCCAUAGCAGAUGGCAACUUCAAUGUACUCCCUGUGAGGUAUAACAAGGAUUGGCUGCCUGGGUGCUGUUUGUCUAACACAGGCCUGGAUGAUGUGGAAAUUUAUAAAUUUUCAGCUGAAGAAAUGGAGAGAGCAUAUUAAGAACCAGAUUCCAAAGAAAAAAAUAACUAACACAAAGAACAAACGAACAAAAAAGGAACUAAACAGAGCUAACUUUGUCAAUGGAUCAGCAAAAGUUGAAGGUGGAGCAUCACCAAGAAUAAGAAAAUCAAAACCAGUAUGAGAAUACAAGCAAGUAUCAGAAGACAACAUUUGACAGAAGACUGUGACUUAAAAAACUGACACUGCAGAGCUAUUACUUGGAUGUCUUAUUUCAGCGGACACUACAGGGUUAUAUUUUAAAAAUAUUUUUGUUAAUAACCCUACAUUAUGACAGGGUCAUUUUUGAUCUACCUUAACCAAGUAGUCAUCUCCAAAUUUCACUUAGCUUUAACAAUGAAAACAGAUGAAUCAGUUUGAACUCCUGGUUCUGUGAUCAGAAGUUACUACAUUGCUCUAAUAGUUGCAUUGCAGACACUUCAGAAGGCUGCCUAAAUCGGUUAUCUGUCUAUUCAUUUGUUUUUAUAAAAUCAAAAUUCUGUACCAAAAAGAUCUUACCAUGUCUGUUCCUCCUCCCUCUUCCCUCAAGAUUUUUUUCUUUAUUCAUCUUACGUGGAGCAAGAAGUUAUAUCUGAAGUAGCCUGGUAAAAAAGAAAAAAUUGUUCUAUACCUGACUUCUCCUUAAAAAUUACAGAUGAAGAGAGGGCAAAUUCUGACAUGACAUCGCUAAUCUUCCAGUAUAAAGGGUGAGACCAGUGUUUAGUAAAGAUGCAACUUGUGUGCCUUGGGAAAAAUGCUAGACUGCCUGUUGGAUUAUUCUGCAGUGGAUUGUACUGUCUUGUAUGGGGCAGGGAUGGAAGGGAGGAAAGUAGCUAAUUAAUCUCUAGGAUAAUCUUAUCCCUUUUGAAAUAAAAGACAAGAUUUCUAAAUAUUUGUGAAGAGCCAGUAUUUCAUGCUGGCAAUCAUAUAUGCCUUUUUUUUUUUUUUCUCUUCAAUUGUGUCAUUUUCCUUUAAUUUAUGACUGAUGUGUCUUAAACUUCCAAGUCUACUCAGAUGUUUGAGAGGUGCUAAAACAAUAUUACAAUGCAUGUUUCACCAAGCAUAAACUUUUUUUCUUUCUUAACCUAUAGAUAAUAAUUUAUUUUAGUCUGACUCAAGGGUUUUAUGUCUAUGAAGGUAUUAAUUUGCUCCUUAUGUGAACACUUUAUCUGGAUAUGAUUUUAAUAUUAAUAUGAUUCUAUUAUUAAAAGAUUAAUGGUAUUUUUGUAAGUAGCCUUCAUAGAUCUGAGGCUGGUAUCUUAAUGUUGGAUAAGUUUAGUGAACACACUUUCUUAUUUGCCGUUUCUCUCUGUGCAAAUAGUUUUAGGAGUACUAUAUUAAUUCACAUAAGCCUGUACAUUUCUACUGAAGAUGUUUACCAUGGAACUAGAUUACAUUUGCUAGUAUUUUUAAUAAAUCUUUAUAAUAAUGAAUGCCUCAUUCAUUAAAAGUAUCAUCUUUUAAGCAGUUGGGUGAGAUUUGCUUAGAUUUCAAGUAUUUCUCAGCAUGCUGCUCAUAAGACAAUAUUUUCUUUGAUGUAUCCUGCAACUGUAAGUUUACAGUCCCUGUAGAUAUCAAUUUAUGCACACCUAAGUUACCAGGUUUUCAAAAGUGAAUCCAAACAGUGGUUUAGGUGCCAGUAUCCAAUUCCAGGCACGUAAAACUAGACAAUUUCACAUUCAUUUUUUUUGUGCAGAUUGCACAGUGUAAUUACUUUACAGACACGAAGAUAGUUUCACUGAAUUUACAAAUAAAAAAGUGAGCAGGUUGGUGCAACAACUAGUCCAUUAAAAAAAAAAAAAAGCAAGUGUAUGUGCUUUUAGAAGUAAACUGAAUUAAGGCAGUGAUUAUUAUGAUUUUUGUUUUUCAUUGUCUUGCUAAUAGCCUGUGAAAGCUGAAAGGCAAAAUGGUUGUUAAAUCAGAUGAAGAUGGUUUGUUUUUCUUUAGAUGUCAUAUUUUUUGCUUCUGGCUGAGUGGGACUGAGGAGUCAGAAAAGUAGAACUCAAGUGAAAACAAUGAAUUCACAGGGGUACUUGCUUUAGAUGUAUUUUAAGCAACAUUUUAAAAUUUACAAGACUAAUGAUUCUGAAUUUAUCUCUGCAAUUAGUUUUAAAAAUCCUUUUACACUUUAAAAUUUGUUGGUUAGAAAAAACUGCCACAUUCAGGGAUUGUUCCAUAUGUUUAAGCACAAUAUUUUUAUAGGGAAGGUGUGAGACAUGGGAAUUCAUAGUUGAUAACCUAAGUGCUUGACAAUUUCUUUUGAACUGCAGUUUUCAGAAACAUUGCCAAAAAUGUCUAAUGUCUUUGAAAAUACUUUAACCAAAUACUUAAACCAAUUCCAAACCCCUCAUAUGACAGUAAGAUCUGAGGUCAAUCCAGGCAUCAUCUUACGAAGUCAGUAAAACAAAAUGCACAGUAGAAUUUUUGGCUAAGCACUUCUGUAUGAAGGAGAUCUAAUUAAAGCUAAAUCUAAGCCAAGGGUAAUGAGUACUGCAAAGUCAUGUUUAUGUUGCAGAGGAUCUUCAAAUGUUUUAGAAACAUAGGUCCUAAGUGCCAUGAAACAGGGAAGAUGGAAAGCCUAUGGCUUGAGGUCUAGGGUAAAGACUGCAGUGUUAGGGUUGUGUUUGGAUGGGGCUUGUUUUAUGGAUUUAUUUUGUUGUUUGGUGCUUUUUUUUUUUUUUUUUUGUUACUUAAAUAUAGAUUUGUCAGUUUUCUUGAGAACUAAGCUGAUAGUUUUUCACUUUCUUCAUUAUUAUGAAUGCCACAUAGAGUAACAAUUGAAUUAGACACUGAUUUAUUUUUUCCUGUUUCGAGCAUGUAGCCUUUGCUGAAGUUGCAUAAAAUCUGUCAGCCAAUUCACUGUUCCCUAGUGAUGUAAUAUUAUAAUGAAAGAUCCUAUUAAGCUCUUUCUACAUUUAUUUUAAAAUUUUGAUUUAAGUAAAUCAACACUUUCAGAGCAACUGUAUAUUUUAUCUUGUCACUAUCUAAUUGCAAACAAUUUGUAUGUCAGAGGUACUUGGCAAGUAGUCACAUGCCCUUCAAAAUAUAAAAUAUUACUGUGCAUCUGAUUUGUUGGGAAACUGAAAUUAGGUCCUCUUAUUUCUAACUUUCCUUUCCUCCUAGUGAAUAUGUAAGAGUCGUUUUAUCUCCUGAAUAUUGUUUUAAAGAUAAAAGGAAGGGCAUCUUUUAGGCAGUGCAGAAAAGCUUAUGUUACAAAUCUGUAUCUCUGGUUUUGAAGAACAGAUUGUCUUGGUUUUAAAAGCAGAGUAAUAAACUUUCUUUAGCUGAUACAUUUUACAUUCUUGCUGAGGUUUUGAGUUGGCUACAUGAAGUGGAAUAGAGUGGAGGUUGUAUGGUGGCAUAGCAAUGUGGACAAUAGUGUUGCUCUUGCCUGCUCCUGUUCGAGUCCACUAAAAACUAAAAUAGUUCAGAGUAGGUUUUAAAAAUGCAGGAUGCUUUCUGGGAGCUGGAGUUUUAAGCAAGUUUGGAAAAAUGAUAGUAUGUCUAUAUGCUCGGUCUUGUUGAAUGCUAUGUAACUCUGUAAAUAAUUAGUUGGAUGGAGAAGACAAGGUUUUAUCUAUAUUUGCUUCUUAAUGUUAAAAUGAGCUGUUGCAUCUACUUAAAUUGAAAGCACGUAUGUAUUGCCUUUCUUAAGCCAGCUGAAUGUUGACUUUUACCACAAAAAAAAUCUAGUAGUUAAAGAAAUGGGUAAAACAACACCAGUAUUGUAAACCAAGAAAUUUUAGAUACUUAGCUUUAAGACUCAGUAGCUGGAACUGAGCCUACGAAUUUACUGACCAUGAGCAAGAGAGAAAUGUUUACAAACUAAUAUUGUUGUAACAGCGAAAGCAGCAAUGAAUUCCAGAUUACAUUUACUAAUGCGUGACUGUCUGACUGCAACAAAUAUAGUAGUUUGUUUUUAAUUCCCAUUAGGAUGUAUUUUCUUCUUAGUUGACUUGUCUGUCCUUUUUCUGGUUAAACAAUUAUUGUUGAAAUGUGUUGGCUUUAAAAAAAUGCAUUACGAAAAAUGAAUUUGCAUAAAUCAUUGUAUAAGGUAAAAUUAUGGUUCAGUGAAGGUUGCUGAGAAUAUGAAUUAUUUUACUGAAACACUCGUUUGUUUUACGUGUUUUGUUUUACACUAAGUUUUACCUCAGGAUUUGUUGAUUGUUUAAUAUAUAAUCAAUAAUCCAUAGCACAAGAGCCAAGUUUUGAGUGUAUGUAAGAUUCCCAUUAUUCACUUCAUAAGAUAUUCCUAAAGAAAACUUUCUCCAUUUAAA